This is a non-coding RNA of Ixodes scapularis (black-legged tick), 155 nucleotides long. The record is from Rfam. Lineage: Eukaryota; Metazoa; Arthropoda; Arachnida; Ixodida; Ixodidae.
AUGUGUCGUCAAAUGUAUGUUCUGAUGAAAAUAUCCACCAAGUUUCGCAGCCAGCUGCGAGACUUGGUGUAAAUUGCAGGUCACACUGAGCACUUACUCUUUGAACCCACAUUGCGGCCCCGGGCCUUCCCGUAGCUUCGUCUGUGUGAGGAUCG